CAGUAGCCGCGGUAAUACAGAGGGUGCGAGCGUUAAUCGGAUUUACUGGGCGUAAAGCGUGCGUAGGCGGCUUUUUAAGUCGGAUGUGAAAUCCCUGAGCUUAACUUAGGAAUUGCAUUCGAUACUGGGAAGCUAGAGUAUGGGAGAGGAUGGUAGAAUUCCAGGUGUAGCGGUGAAAUGCGUAGAGAUCUGGAGGAAUACCGAUGGCGAAGGCAGCCAUCUGGCAUAAUACUGACGCUGAGGUACGAAAGCAUGGGGAGCAAACAGGAUUAGAUACCCCAGUAGUCCCUGUCUCUUAUAC
Molecule: ribosomal RNA, 301 nt
Filed under: uncultured bacterium
Lineage: Bacteria
Description: partial 16S ribosomal RNA
Rfam family: Bacterial small subunit ribosomal RNA
Source: RNAcentral